RNAcentral lists this ribosomal RNA (275 nucleotides) under uncultured bacterium. RNAcentral describes it as "partial 16S ribosomal RNA". It matches the Rfam family "Bacterial small subunit ribosomal RNA", at positions 79 to 354 of the family's 1533-position model. The record is from RNAcentral.
CUUUCUCCGCCGGCGACCGGCGCACGGGUGAGUAACACGUAUGCAACCUGCCCCUGUCAGGGGGACAACCCGCCGAAAGGCGGGCUAAACCCGCGUACAUGCCACCGGGCAUCCCGGAGGCAGGAAAGGCUUCGGCCGGACAGGGAUGGGCAUGCGGCGCAUUAGGCAGUAGGCGGGGUAACGGCCCACCUAACCGACGAUGCGUAGGGGUUCUGAGAGGAAGGUCCCCCACACUGGUACUGAGACGCGGACCAGACUCCUACGGAAGGCAGCAG